UAGUUAAAUUAGUGUUGUUUUUUUUAUUCUUCCUUGUAUUUUUUUUGGCACCCGUGGUGUCUAUUAAUUU
RNAcentral lists this transfer RNA (70 nucleotides) under Schistosoma turkestanicum. RNAcentral describes it as "tRNA-Gly". The record is from RNAcentral. Lineage: Eukaryota; Metazoa; Platyhelminthes; Trematoda; Strigeidida; Schistosomatidae.